UGACUUAUAGUUCAAUGGAAGAAUGCCACGCUACGAACGUGGAGAUAGAAGUUCGACCCUUCUUAAGUCAA
This 71-nucleotide transfer RNA is filed under the name Chitinophagaceae bacterium. RNAcentral describes it as "tRNA-Arg". It matches the Rfam family "tRNA". From Rfam's summary of the family: Transfer RNA (tRNA) molecules are approximately 80 nucleotides in length. Their secondary structure includes four short double-helical elements and three loops (D, anti-codon, and T loops). The record is from RNAcentral. Lineage: Bacteria; Pseudomonadati; Bacteroidota; Chitinophagia; Chitinophagales; Chitinophagaceae.